GGCCCGAGAGGCUCUUCUGGAGGCCAUUCGCUCAGGCUCUGGGGCUCAACAUCUGAAGAAGGUCCCUGUCACACAGACAAGACGGCAAGUGAAUGGGAGACUUGGCACCAUCCAGACAACAUCACCACUUUCUUAUGGACACUAGAAACCUUCACUGGAUCACCGUUUGGGUUUACCCAUCGCCAAAUCUGGUGUUUAAGCAUACAUUCUUUAUUUAUAGUGAUAUGCUGCUUCACAUCCAUGCCAAUACUAAUUUGUCUAGUUUCAGGCAGUUUAUGUCUUGUUACUGAAAUUCUAAUGAUGACAGUGUAGUUCUUUGUUAAUGCUGCUUUGAGUUAGAUUUUUUUCUCUCUCUCAUAUGUCUGCCUGACUUCUAUAUCUCUAUCAGUAUUAUACCUGAAUAUAUUAUGCAGGUAUUUGCUGUUGCAUAACAGUAUAAGGUGGUGGGCUGCAAUUGAAUCCACCUGCCAACCACAACAGUCUAUGGCUUUUUGAUAUUUAUUUUUUAAAGGAACACUAAGUGGUAAAAUGGAAAACACUGAGAUAUUUUUAUUUAAUCAAUAUUAUAAAGGUGUUUCUUUAAAUGUUUUGUUAUUUUGUUAUAUAUAGAUUUUGAUAAUUAGAUCACAAUCUAUUUUCAUUAGAAAAGUGGACUAGAAACGAACCAUUCUUGACACUCUUAUUUUUGAAGCAUUGUACAGUAGAUACACAUGCCGUAUAUUUGACCAAUACUAAUGCACUUUCUCUAACACAGAUUCAUUUGAAAGCCUUGUAGAUACUGUAUGAUUGGACAUAAUGUAAUCAAUUCCUUUUCACCAGUCUGCUGAACAGCUGUGAUCUAGAGCUAUCAUGGUGAUUCAGCUUUAAUUUAUUCCAUUGCGAAAAUCCUACACUACUAUAAUUAGAGUAAAUUGUUUAAUAUAUUUACACGUUGUAAAUAUAUUUAUGUUGUUAGCAUUAUAGACUAUAUGACAGGUCUGUACAGUGGCAAUCUUAUUGAAUAAAUUACUUGAGUAUAAGUCGACAGGUGAUUAUUUUGUAAAACAUAUACCUGACACUAAUAUAGUAAGUUUCAAAUCUGACACUAAAGCAUUAGUGUAAUGAAAAGAUUUUUAAAUAAUGCUUUUGUAAUGUCAUUUUUUUUAUUG
Long non-coding RNA from Sinocyclocheilus grahami, 1148 nucleotides. RefSeq lists it as uncharacterized. The transcript has 3 exons. The record is from RefSeq and is a predicted model, not a curated record. Lineage: Eukaryota; Metazoa; Chordata; Actinopteri; Cypriniformes; Cyprinidae.